AGCUUUGAGCAGUGGCACUAUUGUAGCCAAUGAGGUUUAUUUGAGAUGUAAUUAUUGCUAGUUGAAAACUUUUUCCAAUAUCCCACCAUGACAACUUGAAAUAUAGUUGGCAUUGGCAACUUUUUUUUUUUUUUUUUUUUGAGA
Nycticebus coucang (slow loris) is the source of this 144-nucleotide small nuclear RNA. RefSeq annotates it as U4 spliceosomal RNA. NCBI's taxonomy places the organism in Eukaryota, Metazoa, Chordata, Mammalia, Primates, Lorisidae. The record is from RefSeq and is a predicted model, not a curated record. The transcript has a single exon.